Molecule: small RNA, 125 nt
Filed under: Marmota monax (woodchuck)
Lineage: Eukaryota; Metazoa; Chordata; Mammalia; Rodentia; Sciuridae
Source: RNAcentral
ACUGGGCAUGGUAGUGCAUGCCUGUAAUCCCAGCAACAAUGGAGGCUCAGGCAAGAGGAUCACGAGUUCAAGGCCAGCCCCAGCAAAUUAGUGGGGCCUUCAGCAAUGUAGUGAGAUCCUGACUC